This is a long non-coding RNA of Anolis carolinensis (green anole), 790 nucleotides long. RefSeq lists it as uncharacterized. The record is from RefSeq and is a predicted model, not a curated record. The transcript has 2 exons. NCBI's taxonomy places the organism in Eukaryota, Metazoa, Chordata, Lepidosauria, Squamata, Anolidae.
CUAUGAAUCUUCCCUUCUGAUAUACUCUUUCCUUCAUCAAGCCCUGUCCUCUGAACACACACCAUAGGUGAAGUAUCUGAGUUAAGGCUCCAGUAAGUCAGCAAAAUACAUGGCUAACAAUGUGCUUAUGCUACACAGUUAGAGCAGUGUGAUACUGAAUUCUGUAGAAUUCUAGAUGUUUGACUUCAUAAGGUUACUUAGUAUUCUUGGAACACUAGCAUAUUCAAAGCUCUCAUCCUCUGAAGCUUUGUCUCUAGUAGAAUGUUCUUCAAUAAACUGCCAACUCCAGGUUUCUACAGGACCAUAAAAAUUCAAAUGGAUGGGGAAAGAAUCUAGCAGAAUAUCCCAUGUGUCCUUCAACAGAACUCUUCUUGAUUAUUCCCAUUGUAGCAAAGAUGGUGGCUCUUCAGCGGUGAGUUUUGUGGCUCUUGUAAAAGAUAUUUAACUCGGAGUGUAACAAUGAACUCCUAGGCCCAGCGUGAUUGGGCCCUGGGCAGCAGGAUGAAAUCUCGAAGGCAUCACAGAGCAUGUUAUGCUGCCGUCAAGACAUUCCUUGGAUCUUUUGAAGCAUCAACAACGAUGAUUAGCAAGAUUACUAGACCCCCUACUUGAGCCACUAAAAGACAUAGGGGUGGUUGUGUACUUUCUAACAGAGGGAUCACCUUUCAUAAUUAUAAUCCAGAUAAUCUCUUGCUGAAAUGUAUGCAAGGCUCUGCUGGAAGAAGAAAUUUCUGAGAAAAUGUAUUUAGUUGAAUUCUGCCUAAUCCAUUAAAACGUACAAUGCAAUUCA